UGCGACUUCCGUCGAUGUUGUCCUGA
RNAcentral lists this microRNA (26 nucleotides) under Tribolium castaneum (red flour beetle). RNAcentral describes it as "tca-miR-3880-3p". Lineage: Eukaryota; Metazoa; Arthropoda; Insecta; Coleoptera; Tenebrionidae. The record is from miRBase by way of RNAcentral.